Molecule: ribosomal RNA, 300 nt
Filed under: uncultured Eggerthella sp.
Lineage: Bacteria; Bacillati; Actinomycetota; Coriobacteriia; Eggerthellales; Eggerthellaceae
Description: bacterial SSU rRNA
Rfam family: Bacterial small subunit ribosomal RNA
Source: RNAcentral
GGCAAGUCGGUGCGAGAGGCCGGGGUAAUGGGGGAGGUGGCAGCGGUGUUCGGUGUUACUUGGGUUAAAGGGGUUGUAGGAGGUUCUUUAAUUAAGCGGUGAAUACGCCGUGGUAAACCCGGAAACUAACAUUGAUACUAUUGGGCUUGAAUAUUGUGGAGGGGGGCGGAACGGGUCAUGUAGCGGUGAAAUGCUUAGAGAUGACCCGGAACACCGAUUGCGAAGGCAGCCCACUACGCAAUGAUUGACGCUGAGGCACGAAAGCGUGGGGAUCAAACAGGAUUAGAUACCCCGGUAGUC